UCUAAGCGGGAAGCCUACCUCAAGAUAAGAUUUCCCCGAGACUUUAUGUCUCCUAAAGAGCCGUUGAAGACUACGACGUUGAUAGGUUGGAUGUGGAAGCAUAGUGAUAUGUGAAGCUGACCAAUACUAAUUGCUCGUGAGGCUUGACUAUACAACACCCAAACAGUUG
RNAcentral lists this ribosomal RNA (169 nucleotides) under Acinetobacter schindleri. Its description in RNAcentral is "partial 23S ribosomal RNA". The stretch from base 1 to 151 matches the Rfam family "Bacterial large subunit ribosomal RNA", at positions 2780 to 2925 of the family's 2925-position model. The record is from RNAcentral. Lineage: Bacteria; Pseudomonadati; Pseudomonadota; Gammaproteobacteria; Moraxellales; Moraxellaceae.